UGCUGAACACCAUCAACGAGCAGGACUCUA
This 30-nucleotide non-coding RNA is filed under the name Homo sapiens (human). Lineage: Eukaryota; Metazoa; Chordata; Mammalia; Primates; Hominidae. The record is from RNAcentral.